Molecule: ribosomal RNA, 464 nt
Filed under: uncultured Klebsiella sp.
Lineage: Bacteria; Pseudomonadati; Pseudomonadota; Gammaproteobacteria; Enterobacterales; Enterobacteriaceae
Description: bacterial SSU rRNA
Rfam family: Bacterial small subunit ribosomal RNA
Source: RNAcentral
CCUACGGGUGGCUGCAGUGGGGAAUAUUGCACAAUGGGCGCAAGCCUGAUGCAGCCAUGCCGCGUGUGUGAAGAAGGCCUUCGGGUUGUAAAGCACUUUCAGCGGGGAGGAAGGCGGUGAGGUUAAUAACCUCAUCGAUUGACGUUACCCGCAGAAGAAGCACCGGCUAACUCCGUGCCAGCAGCCGCGGUAAUACGGAGGGUGCAAGCGUUAAUCGGAAUUACUGGGCGUAAAGCGCACGCAGGCGGUCGGUCAAGUCGGAUGUGAAAUCCCCGGGCUCAACCUGGGAACUGCAUUCGAAACUGGCAGGCUAGAGUCUUGUAGAGGGGGGUAGAAUUCCAGGUGUAGCGGUGAAUGCGUAGAGAUCUGGAGGAAUACCGGUGGCGAAGGCGGCCCCCUGGACAAAGACUGACGCUCAGGUGCGAAAGCGUGGGGAGCAAACGGGAUUAGAUACCCUGGUAGUC